GGAGUCAAUGCUUCAAAAGUAGGUAUCUGCCUGCCAAGUUCAUAUUUUCCUUUACUUCUCUUUGGUGGGAAUAGUAAUCCCUUCCACAUGCCUUUAGUUGUGUACGCCAUCAAAAAGUGUGGAAAAGAUGGCUGUCCGUGCAAACUUACUUGAUAAUUCAGCAUGAGCAAUGAGGCCUGUCCCUUUAAUGGAAAUGUCACCUUCCAAUGGAAGGAGGCCUUUGAGACUGGUGUGGAAUAUUCUCAGCAGUGUUUCUCUGGAAACUCUUUGCAGUAGCCAUGGAUACCCAGUCUGCAGGAAGCAAGAUACAUGAUCUCUGCAAAAGCAACACAUGCGAAUGUAUAUCCACUGGGUCGAUAGACUCCAGGCUGUUACAACUUCAGCCCAGGAGAGUCGCAGCCACGUUCGACUGACCUGGAAGCAAACAGAACCGAUACUGCGUAGUGCAAGCAUCCGCGAUAUAUCCUAGCUAGAGGAAGCGUUGGGCACGUGCACAUAGAAACCUGGAGGGCAGAUGAGCCACCUCGCAGGAGAAGAGAAACAACGGUUCACACGGAAUUGAAGGCAGCUAUGCUGGGAAGCCUCAGGCUCCUUUAGAAAACACCUUCUUCAUAUCUACAAACACCAAAUCCACCUUGUAGGAAAGACCAGAGAGGAAGCCCAGCAGAGCGGCGGGACUUCCGGAAGCUCUGCGAUCUACUCACGCAGUUGUGGUCUGCAUGUCGUGCCAGCUU
Molecule: non-coding RNA, 734 nt
Organism: Peromyscus maniculatus bairdii (prairie deer mouse)
Lineage: Eukaryota; Metazoa; Chordata; Mammalia; Rodentia; Cricetidae
Source: RefSeq, a predicted model, not a curated record